GAUGAACGCUAGCGGGAGGCCUAACACAUGCAAGCCGAGCGGUAUUUGUUCUUCGGAACAGAGAGAGCGGCGCACGGGUGCGGAACACGUGUGCAACCUGCCUUUAUCUGGGGGAUAGCCUUUCGAAAGGAAGAUUAAUACCCCAUAAUAUAUUGAGUGGCAUCAUUUGAUAUUGAAAACUCCGGUGGAUAGAGAUGGGCACGCGCAAGAUUAGAUAGUUGGUGAGGUAACGGCUCACCAAGUCAAUGAUCUUUAGGGGGCCUGAGAGGGUGAUCCCCCACACUGGUACUGAGACACGGACCAGACUCCUACGGGAGGCAGCAGUGAGGAAUAUUGAACAAUGGGUUAGCGCCUGAUCCAGCCAUCCCGCGUGAAGGACGACGGCCCUAUGGGUUGUAAACUUCUUUUGUAUAGGGAUAAACCUACUCUCGUGAGAGUAGCUGAAGGUACUAUACGAAUAAGCACCGGCUAACUCCGUG
This 479-nucleotide ribosomal RNA is filed under the name uncultured bacterium. RNAcentral describes it as "partial 16S ribosomal RNA". It matches the Rfam family "Bacterial small subunit ribosomal RNA", at positions 28 to 507 of the family's 1533-position model. The record is from RNAcentral.